This 448-nucleotide ribosomal RNA is filed under the name uncultured bacterium. RNAcentral describes it as "bacterial LSU rRNA". It matches the Rfam family "Bacterial large subunit ribosomal RNA", at positions 2247 to 2695 of the family's 2925-position model. The record is from RNAcentral.
AGGGACCGUGUGUGGUGGCAGUUGACUGGGGCGGUCUCCUCCUAAAGCGUAACGGAGGAGUUCGAAGGUACGCUAAAUACGGUCGGAAAUCGUGUUGAUAGUGCAUUGGCAUAAGCGUGCUUGACUGCGAGACUGACAAGUCGAGCAGGUACGAAAGUAGGACAAAGUGAUCCGGUGGUUCUGUAUGGAAGGGCCAUCGCUCAACGGAUAAAAGGUACUCUGGGGAUAACAGGCUGAUACCGCCCAAGAGUUCAUAUCGACGGCGGUGUUUGGCACCUCGAUGUCGGCUCAUCUCAUCCUGGGGCUGUAGCCGGUCCCAAGGGUAUGGCUGUUCGCCAUUUAAAGAGGUACGUGAGCUGGGUUUAAAACGUCGUGAGACAGUUUUGGUCCCUAUCUUCCGUGGGCGCUGCAAGAUUGAGAGAACCUGCUCCUAGUACGAGAGGACCGG